RNAcentral lists this ribosomal RNA (253 nucleotides) under uncultured bacterium. RNAcentral describes it as "partial 16S ribosomal RNA". It matches the Rfam family "Bacterial small subunit ribosomal RNA", at positions 524 to 776 of the family's 1533-position model. The record is from RNAcentral.
UACGUAGGUGACAAGCGUUGUCCGGAUUUACUGGGCGUAAAGAGCGCGCAGGCGGUCGUUCAAGUCGAGUGUGAAAGCCCCCAGCUCAACUGGGGAAGGGCCUUGGAAACUGCCGGUCUCGAGGGAGGUAGGGGCCUGUGGAACUUCGGGUGGAGCGGUGAAAUGCGUUGAUAUCCGAAGGAACGCCGGUGGCGAAAGCGACGGGCUGGAUCUCUUCUGACGCUGAGGCGCGAAAGCUAGGGUAGCGAACGGG